GUCAUACCUCAACCAGUUUUUCACAUGCGGUGGUGACUCUGGGGUCCUUCUCCCAUCGGUGGAACUCCCUCAUGAUGACGUACACGUUCUUGUCCUUCAUAGUCCGCCGGCCAUCUUUCGUUGCCGUCAGCUACAAGGCAAUAUCGAUGUACUGAAGAUCCACAGGCAGACCUACACCACCAUGACAUCACCAUCACUUUUGUCAUCCUCAUUCUCAUCCAUGUGACCCAUCAGAGCUCGAACCUUCAUUGUCCUCCUCACUGAGUUCUUCUGGACCGGCCAACGGAAGCAGCAGGAAGGGCAGGAUGUCCACUUGAUCGCUUAGUAGCCACUCAUGAUUUGCUGCAGAAGAGUGAUCAUGUGGCAACUGAGAAAAUCGAGUUUCAUAGCAGAAUUUCACUCCCCCCAAAAUUAAAUGGCUUAAUGCGACUGAAGGGGAAAAACAAACACAGUUGGACUAACAGUUUGACUCUUGGCCACAGACCAAGAGAACGGGCAACGCACAUCCCUCGACACGUUGCAGUGGAAAGACUGCAUCCCUGUAUUGGGUUUUCAGGGUCCGCAUACAGUUCUAUCCUGUUUAGUAAUAUAUAUAACUGAAGCGCGGAAAACAAGGUCUAAUAAUCAUGAAUGAAGCAAAUGGCUACAAAGAAGAAUUGUUCUGAAUACAUAUUUAACAAAUAAAUGCAAAAUAUUAAAGUACCUUGACCACUGGAAGAAAAAAAAAAUCUUAAAUGAAACUUACCAUGAAAUUAAAUAAUUCAAAAUAGGGUGUAUAAGGGCAGAUACAAGCCAUACUUUGUUUUCUAGUCACAGAUACAUAGGAAAUUAUAAAUACAGUUAAGUAUUGUUGGAAAACACACAACAUGUAUACUGGCACUGUUCCGGUAUGUUUUGGGCAGUGGGUAUUGCUUAUUCUUAAAACCCAGAAAGCUCAUCUGGAUUUUUGACCAGCAAUUACAUUUGCCACCUUGGGAUUCUCAAAUGUAACAUAACCCGAACAAAAGUGACCCCAAACCAGACCCCAAAUGUUACCGAGCACGAAACCCUAACUACUCCUUCAUAAUAAAUUGAUUCAUCCAUU
Long non-coding RNA from Hippocampus zosterae (dwarf seahorse), 1084 nucleotides. RefSeq lists it as uncharacterized. The transcript has 2 exons. NCBI's taxonomy places the organism in Eukaryota, Metazoa, Chordata, Actinopteri, Syngnathiformes, Syngnathidae. The record is from RefSeq and is a predicted model, not a curated record.